Molecule: long non-coding RNA, 1995 nt
Organism: Columba livia (rock pigeon)
Lineage: Eukaryota; Metazoa; Chordata; Aves; Columbiformes; Columbidae
Exons: 2
Source: RefSeq, a predicted model, not a curated record
AUCAGCACUGUGCAAACUGGGUGCCGUUCUGCUUGCAGAGAAAAACCACUCAACCGAAGCCUGGAGACUGGAUCUUCUGUGCCUGGGAAAACCUGAAAUAAGGUACAGAAAAAUGAGCCUCCGGGAUUUCCAAGCAGAGGUUUGGGCAGACCCAAAGGAGCCGACAGCCUGGCCAGGGAAAGCCCUCAUUGAAGGAAAAGCUCCAGUAGUCCCCAGAGAACUUCCCCAGAGAUGGAGUCAUUCGCACAGGGACUUCCACCACUUCUGUCCUGCUGGAAACCUCUCUAACAACUUUCCCCCUGGAAUUCAGAUGGAGGAGCAUGGAGGUGACUGCAUGUUACCCACAGUUGUUUCUUUCAGAGCCUGUCCAGCCAAAUUCUCUGAAGGACUGAUGCUAAAAUGAGAUCUUCCUGUGCUCUUCAGCAGCUCUGCGCCUGCAGGGAUGGGACAGAUUGCUUGUUCAUAUAUCAGUCCAUUGUUUCAUGAAACAAUGCUGGUAAGAAAUGAAUGGAAAAAAGAGUAGAGGUCAAGUGCAAGCUUUUAUUAUUUGUUAAACUCGCAGUAAGGGGAAAACAUUCUCCUAAGGUGACAUGUGUAGGAGGGCCUGUCUACCCACUAGAUGGUGCUAAAAAAUAAUGUAUUAUAACUGCCCAGAGCAUGGCUCUGCCAACCAACCCUGUGUGCACAGCAGCCGCUGCUUCUGAGGAGGCAAUGCCUGGGUGAUGCACCACCCUGCAAUGUGCUAGGCAUGUGGUUUAAAAUCACCUGGAAGCCAAUAUGCUUUCUACUCUAAUCUGAGUUCAAUUUGGUUUACUUGGUGUAUAGAUGUGCCCUGAAAGAGAAGGGUUAGUUCAGGUGUAGUUUGGUAACUCCUGUUUUUUGCAAACUGAGCAUCUCCACAAGCAGCAGCUGCUGGGCUGGCACAGUGUGUGGCGUUGGGGUUGGGCUCAUCGGGCUCAGCAGCGAUGGCCAAGGAGACCUGCAGGUCAGCAGCCAGCAAGAUGGAAAAUCAUUCCAUUCAGACCAGGCAAGUUUAAAACACCUUGUGAGGAGGAAAGCCCUGGCAUGGCUGGGGCCACCAAGGGAGUGAGUAGCUCCCUUGGAGAAGGGCACCCAGCAGACUGAGGACAUCAAGCACUGAAAUGUUUUCUCUCAGAUUUUAAGAAAACCAUUUUCAUUUCAAAAGUUUCAUCUUUGUGAAGGCAUGUACUUAAUAUUGAGCAAUUUUCAUAUUUAUUUAAGACAGGGCACUGCUUUCUCUUGGGUACACAAGGAGGUACUACAAGAACUCGCUUUUUAAAAUAUUUCUUACUUAAUUCCAGCUUUCACUUUUAUUUGUUGUUGUUGUUUGUUUGUUUUUCUUUUUUUCCUGCACUAUUUUUAAUUAACUGCAGGAAUUAAUCACUCUUGCUAGUGGACAUAACAAGCUGGAUUCAGAUCCAUACUACAAUUCAGAAUUACUAUAUCUGAUGAGAGUUUCCCUGAUAUUACAUGAUUGAUAGUGAGAUCAAUUUCUGGCCCUGUUUGCCUGUGGCUUUCAUGUUAUGCAACAAACAUUCAAAGGCAGAAUACGAUGCUCUCACACAGCCACAGGAAAAAUGACAGACAUGGGGUAUACGACAAGGAUAUAAGUGAGGAAUCUGACCCUUAAAGCUGCAAUCCUGUACAGUCUGGAAAAGCUUUCUGGGUAAAAAGCAGGGCCAGAGGUCAGACUGAUUUCUGCAGCGGUCACAGGUCAGCUGAGGUCAGGUCAUCUGCAAUAAGCAGAUAUUUCUAUCCUGGAGCACUGGGUAACAUGGUCCUGGCACAUCCGUGUUCCAAACACAUGGCCAAUAUUUGUUAUUACAUAUCAUUUAUUAAAGCUUGGCCAAUCAUAAUAGCAAAUUUGUAUGCAUGUGAAGAUGUCUGUAUUUUGCCAAAAGUAGCUCAUGCAUGAAAAAUAUUACAUAAACUUUCUGAACAUAUAUCAAAAUAAAUAUUACAAAUUACAGGAAA